Molecule: ribosomal RNA, 206 nt
Filed under: uncultured bacterium
Lineage: Bacteria
Description: partial 16S ribosomal RNA
Rfam family: Bacterial small subunit ribosomal RNA
Source: RNAcentral
AGCGUAGGCGGACUUUUAAGUGAGAUGUGAAGUACCCGGGCUCAACUUGGGUGCUGCAUUUCAAACUGGAAGUCUAGAGUGCAGGAGAGGAGAAUGGAAUUCCUAGUGUAGCGGUGAAAUGCGUAGAGAUUAGGAAGAACACCAGUGGCGAAGGCGAUUCUCUGGACUGUAACUGACGCUGAGGCUCGAAAGCGUGGGAGCAAACA